Molecule: transfer RNA, 75 nt
Filed under: Muiribacterium halophilum (SeqCode)
Lineage: Bacteria; Candidatus Muiribacteriota; Muiribacteriia (SeqCode); Muiribacteriaceae (SeqCode)
Description: bacterium BM706 tRNA-Val
Rfam family: tRNA
About the family: Transfer RNA (tRNA) molecules are approximately 80 nucleotides in length. Their secondary structure includes four short double-helical elements and three loops (D, anti-codon, and T loops).
Source: RNAcentral
GGGCGCUUAGCUCAGGGUGAGAGCACUUGCUUGACGUGCAAGGGGUCGCAGGUUCAAAUCCCGCAGUGCCCACCA